Molecule: small nuclear RNA, 95 nt
Filed under: Ursus maritimus (polar bear)
Lineage: Eukaryota; Metazoa; Chordata; Mammalia; Carnivora; Ursidae
Source: RNAcentral
GUGCUCACUUCGGCACAUAUGAAAUUGGAACGAUACAGAGAAGAGCAUGGAUGUGCAAGAAUGGCAAACAAAUUUAUGCAGCCUUCUAUAUUUAA